This 236-nucleotide ribosomal RNA is filed under the name uncultured bacterium. RNAcentral's name for it is "partial 16S ribosomal RNA". It matches the Rfam family "Bacterial small subunit ribosomal RNA", at positions 524 to 774 of the family's 1533-position model. The record is from RNAcentral.
UACAGAGGGUGCAAGCGUUAAUCGGAUUUACUGGGCGUAAGGGCGCGUAGGUGGUAAAGCAAGUAAGAUGUGAAGCCCUGGCUUAACCUGGAAGUGCAUCUUAACUGCUUAACUAGAGUAUGGUAGAGGUAGUGGAAUUCCGGUGUAGCGGUGAAUGCGUAGAGAUCGGAGGAACGCCAGUGUGAAGACGACUACUGACCAAUACUGACACUGAGCGCGAAGCGUGGGAGUCAACA